UGAGCAGUGGGGGAAGGUGCCCUAGCGGGACGUGUGGUGCCAACAGGUUUUAAAGAGGGCAACAAGCUAUUAAUCCCAGUCAAGACUUCAUAGGUUCAGUUGCGGUUAUGAACCCAUUCCAGUGCCAAACACUGGGCUUAUUAUAGCAUUUCCAGGGUGGGGCACACUACUCCACUUGACCCAAAUACUCAACGACCCUAAAGUCAAAGUUAACCCACUCUGGAACAAUGAAAAUCAUGAAUGUAAAUAGGAGAAAUAAGUUGUUGUAAAUAAGGGAUAGGUGUUCUUCCUCUUCAUGGAGAUGGAGGUCAGCUGCUACAUGAUCUUUGACUUUUUCAUUCAAACUGUAAAAACUCAUAUGAACCUGACCUCUGGUCCUCUGGGACUGAGCCUCUUCUUCAUUUCAACCGUUGUUAACUUUUAACCAUCAUGGCCCUUCAAGAGCACGUCUAUCUAAGUAGGUAACAACGGGAACGUUCUUUGGCUUGACCUCUUCCUUUCACCACCAGCUAUUGCUAAAGUACAAAGGUUCUGACUUUGUAUAUGUUUGUUUGUCAGAUAUCACUAAUCUGAACUGCCAUUGGUAAUAGAACAGUGACUGUGUACAGAAUGAUUUCACAGAUGCAUCUAUGGAGCCACCACUUGGAGACUAGCAAGAUGUAGUGAUGGAGUCCUGACCGGCAGACAGGCUUGAUACUGACGUCUCUGAAUGGAGUGAGACCUGGCACUUAACACUUCCACAAUGUGGGACUGAAGAUGGAGAUGACUGGAUAGGCUUUUCCCAGACUCCAGCCUCUGUCGUUUAAUGGGGAGACCAUAAUUGGAAACAUGUAUGGAGCCAGCAGUUGGAGACAUGCAAGAUGAUGUGAUGAAGUCCAGACUGACAGAGGUGCUUGACACUGAUGUAUCUAAAUGGAGAGAGAUCUGGCACUUGGCAUACAUUUUUUACCAGACACUUGAAUUGAAUGGCAUCAGUCAAUAUGGGGAGGGAGAAACCCAGUGUACUGUUCAACAGGAUCAGGGAACUCCUGUUCAGGACACCACACAGGAAGGUAUGACCACUCUGACAUGUUUGCCAGUGUACACCAGUCCCAUUACCACCAGACAAAAUUCCAAUAGUAUCUGUAUUGGCUGGGAAUGACAAUGAAAGGUGAAAGCUGCAAAUUGUUAUAUUACAGAACACUGCUUCUAUGAUAUUAUGUAAAGGGUUAUUUAUUCUACAUGGACCUGUUACUAUAUUUGAAAGUUAUCAAAACACUUGUUAUAAGUUGUAUAUGUUAUAAAUUUAGCAAUUGCAUUAUUCUAAUGUUACUCUGUAGGCUACUAACCUAUUCAAAGCCUCCUCUGGCAUCUUACCAUACAUAUGCCUGUAGUUAUUGAACUCAACCUGCAGGAGGUUUGUUUGUUGUGAUGGAGUGGGGGGAAACAGCUGUGUGGGCAAGGUUCUGACAGAUGGGUGUGUCUUGGUGGAGGCAAGGACACACCCACAAAAGACCCACAUUAAAUCACACCCCCAAGCCAACUCACAUUUGGCCUGUGUGUUAAAAAGGUGGAUUUUGUUGCGUUCAUUGCCACAGUUAUAUAUACUGUACAGCACAAGUCUCAAAGAAGUCGAAGAAACUAGACAUUAUUGUGGCUGCAGGAGGAACGUUUUUGGGAAUCAAGGAUUUUACAUUGGAAGACUUGCAAGGGGUACUGGCGCCAGAAGACCAGGUUCCAGGUUCCCCUUGAGCCUGUGUAGGGAUCAGAUCUGUUUUAUUUAUUUUAACAGAAAAUUCAGUUUUUGUGGGGAAUCCUAUUUACAUCCCGCAUAGUAGAUGGUGGAAUGCACAUUAAAUUGUGAAUUCACCAAUACAUCAUAAAGGAAGAAGACCUAGUCAGUUGUUGUCAUGUCCUGACCAUAGAAAGCUUGUAUUUUCUAUGGUAGAGUAGGUCAGGGCGUGACUGGGGAAUU
Molecule: long non-coding RNA, 1954 nt
Organism: Oncorhynchus kisutch (coho salmon)
Lineage: Eukaryota; Metazoa; Chordata; Actinopteri; Salmoniformes; Salmonidae
Exons: 3
Source: RefSeq, a predicted model, not a curated record